AACGAACGCUGGCGGCAUGCCUAACACAUGCAAGUCGAACGAGACCUUCGGGUCUAGUGGCGCACGGGUGCGUAACGCGUGGGAACCUGCCCUUAGGUUCGGAAUAACUCCCCGAAAGGGGUGCUAAUACCGGAUAAUGUCUUCGGACCAAAGAUUUAUCGCCUUUGGAUGGGCCCGCGUUGGAUUAGCUAGUUGGUAGGGUAAAAGCCUACCAAGGCGACGAUCCAUAGCUGGUCUGAGAGGAUGAUCAGCCACACUGGGACUGAGACACGGCCCAGACUAGUGGGGGGGGCAGGAGUGGGGAAGAGGGCAGAGGGGGCGAAAGACUGAACGAGCAGCGCGGGGUGAGUGAUGGAGGCCUGAGGGUGGGAAUGCUCUUGCACGGGGGAAGAUGAGGACAGUGCGUGGAGAAGAGCCACCGGCUCACGCCGUGCCAGCAGCGGCGGUAAAAAACGGAAGAGAACACGUGUGACC
RNAcentral lists this ribosomal RNA (474 nucleotides) under uncultured bacterium. RNAcentral's name for it is "partial 16S ribosomal RNA". It matches the Rfam family "Bacterial small subunit ribosomal RNA", at positions 33 to 541 of the family's 1533-position model. The record is from RNAcentral.